GGGGCUGUAUUGGCUUCGACAGCGUAGAUCUUUGAAGGUGUAAGCAUGUCGUGCGUUGGAUAAUUAGCACGUAAAUCUGAAUAUUCAAACUUCAAAUGGCAAUACACAGUAUGCCAUGGCUGCCUAAUCAGUGAUUAAGUAGUCAUUAGGGCCGCGAGAGCAGGUUGUCCUGUUACCAAGCUCCGCCGCCGACUCAAAAACAAACACAGGAUGCUGCGACCGAAGGCUGUGACGGUUGCAAAAGACUAUCCAGCUAAGGAAUGAAUCGGUUUGUUGAUUCCCUGUUCAUUCCCGACAAAUAAUAAUCAAAUAAGCAUGUAGAAAGCUUUUGGGGAAUAUGUUUGGACGAGGGUUCGACUCCCUCCAGCUCCACUU
RNAcentral lists this transfer-messenger RNA (375 nucleotides) under Flavihumibacter solisilvae. RNAcentral's name for it is "Standard tmRNA". It matches the Rfam family "transfer-messenger RNA". From Rfam's summary of the family: Bacterial tmRNA, also known as 10Sa RNA or SsrA, is named for its dual tRNA and mRNA-like properties. Lineage: Bacteria; Pseudomonadati; Bacteroidota; Chitinophagia; Chitinophagales; Chitinophagaceae. The record is from Rfam by way of RNAcentral.